GGCGGCAUGGUCGUCCUCCGGAAACCAAAGGCGCAAAAAACAUAACUUGAGUUGUGCGGGAUUACGGGCGCGGCUCUCUGCAGCGUCCCUCCAUCCCCGGGUGUUGUAACCGGCAUGCGGUGGAACGCCCCCGGGCCUCCACCGUGCCACAACAUACCGUGAGUGUGCAGGAUGUGACCCGAAAGAUGGUGAACUAUGCCUGAUCAGGUUGAAGUCAGGGGAAACCCUGAUGGAGGACCGAAGCAGUUCUGACGUGCAAAUCGAUUGUCAGAAUUGGGCAUAGGGGCGAAAGACCAAUCGAACCAUCUAGUAGCUGGUUCCUUCCGAAAAGAA
This 333-nucleotide ribosomal RNA is filed under the name Aedes albotaeniatus. Its description in RNAcentral is "eukaryotic LSU rRNA". It matches the Rfam family "Eukaryotic large subunit ribosomal RNA", at positions 693 to 970 of the family's 3401-position model. The record is from RNAcentral. Lineage: Eukaryota; Metazoa; Arthropoda; Insecta; Diptera; Culicidae.